RNAcentral lists this ribosomal RNA (229 nucleotides) under uncultured bacterium. RNAcentral describes it as "partial 16S ribosomal RNA". It matches the Rfam family "Bacterial small subunit ribosomal RNA", at positions 568 to 796 of the family's 1533-position model. The record is from RNAcentral.
UGCGUAGGCGGAAUAUUAAGUCAGUGGUAAAAUCCUGCGGCUCAACCGUAGAACUGCCAUUGAUACUGAUAUUCUUGAAUGUAGUUGAGGUAGGCGGAAUGUGUAAUGUAGCGGUGAAAUGCUUAGAUAUUACACAGAACACCGAUUGCGAAGGCAGCUUACUAAACUAUGAUUGACGCUGAGGCACGAAAGCGUGGGGAGCGAACAGGAUUAGAUACCCUGGUAGUCC